This 61-nucleotide transfer RNA is filed under the name Ictidomys tridecemlineatus (thirteen-lined ground squirrel). Its description in RNAcentral is "Spermophilus tridecemlineatus (thirteen-lined ground squirrel) tRNA". It matches the Rfam family "tRNA", at positions 6 to 65 of the family's 71-position model. From Rfam's summary of the family: Transfer RNA (tRNA) molecules are approximately 80 nucleotides in length. Their secondary structure includes four short double-helical elements and three loops (D, anti-codon, and T loops). Further hydrogen bonds mediate the characteristic L-shaped molecular structure. tRNAs have two regions of fundamental functional importance: the anti-codon, which is responsible for specific mRNA codon recognition, and the 3' end, to which the tRNAs corresponding amino acid is attached (by aminoacyl-tRNA synthetases). tRNAs cope with the degeneracy of the genetic code in two manners: having more than one tRNA (with a specific anti-codon) for a particular amino acid; and 'wobble' base-pairing, i.e. permitting non-standard base-pairing at the 3rd anti-codon position. The record is from Rfam by way of RNAcentral. Lineage: Eukaryota; Metazoa; Chordata; Mammalia; Rodentia; Sciuridae.
UGUGGCACGGUGGUAGAGCGCUUGCUUAACACGCAUGAGCCUCUGGGUUUGAUUCCCAGCA